GCAUCAAUAAAAGAUACAACAUUCAUCAGAGCAAGCCCAAUUUUAGAAGAUAAACUUGAUGAUACAUGCCAUUCUGAAUAUAUACCCACAUUAAAUUAGCCUGAAUGGACCUUAUCAACAACAUAAUUUGGUAAAUAAAAUCGUGAUAUUCACAUGCUUGGACAUAUCUAAAUAACUCAAUGCCAUGUUAAUGAUUUUUAGAAAAUCUAAUUAACAAAGCAGAUACAAGUGGAAAAAUCCUGAUAUCCACCAUAUGUACAUAUGAACACACACAGACAAUUAAUUGACAGUGGGUGUGUGUAUACUGUGGUAUGUGUGUGAUAAUGUGUGUGUGCGAGUAUAGCAGUGGGUGGGUGUAUGUGUGUGAGUAUAGCAGUGGGUGUGAGAGUAACUUACCAAAUAACCAAAUCAAGCCUCCUAAUUAAAUGUGGGUAGUGGAGAGGAAGAGGGAAAGGAAGUGAGAGACAGAAUCGUCGCCGAUGAAGAAGAAAAAGGGAGUCGCCACUGAAGAGGGAGAGGGAAAAGGGAAUCGCAUGUGGGAGGGAAGAGAGCGAGCGCAUCAAAUUUUGGGCAAAAAGGGGAAUAAAACUGUAAUCGUUCAGCUAGGGCUUAUAAACUCUGUUUCACGCUUCUAACUCCUUUUAAGAUUCACGCUUCUAACUCCUU
Molecule: long non-coding RNA, 666 nt
Filed under: Panax ginseng (ginseng)
Lineage: Eukaryota; Viridiplantae; Streptophyta; Magnoliopsida; Apiales; Araliaceae
Description: long non-coding RNA (PGIN_LNC010123)
Source: RNAcentral